RNAcentral lists this ribosomal RNA (323 nucleotides) under uncultured bacterium. RNAcentral describes it as "bacterial SSU rRNA". It matches the Rfam family "Bacterial small subunit ribosomal RNA", at positions 28 to 342 of the family's 1533-position model. The record is from RNAcentral.
GAUGAACGCUAGCGGCAGGCUUAAUACAUGCAAGUCGAGGGGCAGCAGUCCCGUAGCAAUACGGGAGCUGGCGACCGGCAAACGGGUGCGGAACACGUACGCAACUUUCCUUCAAGUGAGGAAUAGCCCAGGGAAACUUGGAUUAAUACCUCGUAAUAUUAUGAAGUGGCAUCACUUUAUAAUUAUAGCUCCGGCGCUUGAAGAUGGGCGUGCGCCUGAUUAGGUAGNGGUCGGGGUAACGGCCCACCCAAGCCUGCGAUCAGUAACUGGUGUGAGAGCACGACCAGUCACACGGGCACUGAGACACGGGCCCGGACUCCUAC